RNAcentral lists this ribosomal RNA (406 nucleotides) under uncultured bacterium. RNAcentral's name for it is "partial 16S ribosomal RNA". It matches the Rfam family "Bacterial small subunit ribosomal RNA", at positions 30 to 526 of the family's 1533-position model. The record is from RNAcentral.
AUUGAACGCUGGCGGCAGGCCUAACACAUGCAAGUCGAACGAGUGGCGGACGGGUGAGUAAUGUCUGGGAAACUGCGUGAUGGAGGGGGAUAACUACUGGAAACGGUAGCUAAUACCGCAUACCAUCGGAUGUGCCCAGAUGUGAUUAGCUAGUAGGUGGGGUAAAGGCUCACCUAGGCGACGAUCCCUAGCUGGUCUGAGAGGAUGACCAGCCACACUGGAACUGAGACACGGUCCAGACGCCUACGGGAGGCAGCAGUGGGGAAUAUUGCACAAGGGGCGCAAGCCUGAUGCAGCCAUGCCGCGUGUAUGAAGAAGGCCUUCGGGUUGUAAAGUACUUUCAGCGGGGAGGCGUUACCCGCAGAAGAAGCACUUGCUAACUCCGUGCCAGCAGCCGCGGUAAUUC